UGGGGAGUCUUGCACAAUGGGGGCAACCCUGAUGCAGCGACGCCGCGUGAGCGAUGAAGCCCUUCGGGGCGUAAAGCUCUUUCGACCGGAACGAUAAUGACGGUACCGGGAGAAGAAGCUGCGGCUAACUACGUGCCAGCAGCCGCGGUAAUACGUAGGCAGCAAGCGUUGUUCGGAGUUACUGGGCGUAAAGAGUGCGUAGGCGGUUUUCUAAGUUCGGUGUGAAAUCUCCCGGCCUAACUGGGAGGGUGCGCCGAAGACUGGGAAGCUGGAGUGUGGGAAAGGCAGGCGGAAUUCCUGGUGUAGCGGUGAAAUGCGUAGAUAUCAGGAGGAACACCGGCGGUGUAGACGGCUUGCUAGACCAUAACUGACGCUGAGGCACGAAAGCGUGGGUAGCAAACA
RNAcentral lists this ribosomal RNA (402 nucleotides) under uncultured bacterium. RNAcentral describes it as "bacterial SSU rRNA". It matches the Rfam family "Bacterial small subunit ribosomal RNA", at positions 355 to 774 of the family's 1533-position model. The record is from RNAcentral.